RNAcentral lists this ribosomal RNA (652 nucleotides) under uncultured Actinomycetes bacterium. Its description in RNAcentral is "bacterial SSU rRNA". It matches the Rfam family "Bacterial small subunit ribosomal RNA", at positions 759 to 1412 of the family's 1533-position model. Lineage: Bacteria; Bacillati; Actinomycetota; Actinomycetes. The record is from RNAcentral.
GCGUGGGGAGCGAACAGGAUUAGAUACCCUUGGUAGUCCACGCCGUAAACGGUGGGCACUAGUUGUGGGAACCUUCCACGGUUUCUGCGACGCAGCUAACGCAUUAAGUGCCCCGCCUGGGGAGUACGAUCGCAAGAUUAAAACUCAAAGGAAUUGACGGGGCCCCGCACAAGCAGCGGAGCAUGCGGCUUAAUUCGACGCAACGCGAAGAACCUUACCAAGGCUUGACAUAUACAGGAAUAUGGCAGAAAUGUCAUAGCCGCAAGGUCUGUAUACAGGUGGUGCAUGGUUGUCGUCAGCUCGUGUCGUGAGAUGUUGGGUUAAGUCCCGCAACGAGCGCAACCCUCGUUCUGUGUUGCCAGCAUUUAGUUGGGGACUCACAGGAGACUGCCGGGGUUAACUCGGAGGAAGGUGGGGAUGACGUCAAAUCAUCAUGCCCCUUAUGUCUUGGGCUGCACGCAUGCUACAAUGGCUGGUACAAACGGCUGCGAUACCGCAAGGUGGAGCGAAUCCGAUAAAGCCAGUCUCAGUUCGGAUUGGGGUCUGCAACUCGACCCCAUGAAGUCGGAGUUGCUAGUAAUCGUAGAUCAGCAACGCUACGGUGAAUACGUUCCCGGGGCUUGUACACACCGCCCGUCACGUCACGAAAGUC